GGUUAGGGGUAGGGUUUGUGGUUGGGGUAGGUUUAGGGGUUGGGGUAGGGUUAGGGUUAGUGGUUGUGUAGGGUUAGGGUAGGGGUAGGGUAACCCUACCGCUCACCCUAUGCUAACCCUAACCUUACCCCUAACCCUACCAUAACCCUACUCCUAACCCUAACCCUGAUCCUAAUGCAACCCUACCCCUAACCUGACCACUAGCCCUACCCUAACUCUACCCCAAACCCUACCUCUAACCCUAACCUUACCCCUAACC
This is a non-coding RNA of Pelobates cultripes (western spadefoot toad), 259 nucleotides long. NCBI's taxonomy places the organism in Eukaryota, Metazoa, Chordata, Amphibia, Anura, Pelobatidae. The record is from the annotation of a GenBank genome assembly.